AGAACGAACGCUGGCGGCAUGCCUAAUACAUGCAAGUCGAACGAACUCUUCGGAGUUAGUGGCGCACGGGUGCGUAACGCGUGGGAAUCUGCCCCUUGGUUCGGAAUAACAGUUGGAAACGACUGCUAAUACCGGAUGAUGACGAAAGUCCAAAGAUUUAUCGCCAAGGGAUGAGCCCGCGUAGGAUUAGCUAGUUGGUGAGGUAAAGGCUCACCAAGGCAACGAUCCUUAGCUGGUCUGAGAGGAUGAUCAGCCACACUGGGACUGAGACACGGCCCAGACUCCUACGGGAGCAGCAGUAGGGAAUAUUGGACAAUGGGCGAAAGCCUGAUCCAGCAAUGCCGCGUGAGUGAUGAAGGCCUUAGGGUUGUAAAGUCUACUUUUACCCGAGAUGAUAAUGACAGUAUCGGGAAGAAGUAACGACCCGGCUAAACGUCCGUACGCCGAACG
RNAcentral lists this ribosomal RNA (450 nucleotides) under uncultured soil bacterium. RNAcentral describes it as "bacterial SSU rRNA". It matches the Rfam family "Bacterial small subunit ribosomal RNA", at positions 26 to 517 of the family's 1533-position model. The record is from RNAcentral.